Trichoderma harzianum is the source of this 100-nucleotide transfer RNA. It matches the Rfam family "tRNA". Rfam says of the family: Transfer RNA (tRNA) molecules are approximately 80 nucleotides in length. Their secondary structure includes four short double-helical elements and three loops (D, anti-codon, and T loops). The record is from Rfam. Lineage: Eukaryota; Fungi; Ascomycota; Sordariomycetes; Hypocreales; Hypocreaceae.
GCUUCCGUAGCUCAGUUGGUUAGAGCUUCGUACUAAUACUAGACUUCACAAUCUAGCCUUGGUAAUGCGAAGGUCGCAGGUUCAAGCCCUGCCGGGAGCA